GACGUAGGGCGCGAGCGUUGUCCGGAUUUAUUGGGCGUAAAGAGCUCGUAGGCGGCUUGUCGCGUCGACUGUGAAAUCCCGCGGCUCAACUGCGGGUCUGCAGUCGAUACGGGCAGGCUAGAGUUCGGUAGGGGAGACUGGAAUUCCUGGUGUAGCGGUGAAAUGCGCAGAUAUCAGGAGGAACACCGGUGGCGAAGGCGGUUCUCUGGGCAUUACCUGACGCUGAGGAGCGAAAGCAUGGGGAGCGAACAGG
Molecule: ribosomal RNA, 253 nt
Filed under: uncultured bacterium
Lineage: Bacteria
Description: partial 16S ribosomal RNA
Rfam family: Bacterial small subunit ribosomal RNA
Source: RNAcentral